CCUACGGGGGGCUGCAGUGGGGAAUUUUGGACAAUGGGCGCAAGCCUGAUCCAGCCAUGCCGCGUGCAGGAUGAAGGCCUUCGGGUUGUAAACUGCUUUUGUACGGAACGAAAAGACUCUGGUUAAUACCUGGGGUCCAUGACGGUACCGUAAGAAUAAGCACCGGCUAACUACGUGCCAGCAGCCGCGGUAAUACGUAGGGUGCGAGCGUUAAUCGGAAUUACUGGGCGUAAAGCGUGCGCCAGAUGUGAAAUCCCCGGGCUCAACCUGGGAACUGCAUUGGUGACUGCAUAGCUAGAGUACGGCAGAGGGGGAUGGAAUUCCGCGUGUAGCAGUGAAAUGCGUAGAUAUGCGGAGGAACACCGAUGGCGAAGGCAAUCCCCUGGGCCUGUACUGACGCUCAUGCACGAAAGCGUGGGGAGCAAACAGGAUUAGAUACCCGGGUAGUC
RNAcentral lists this ribosomal RNA (449 nucleotides) under uncultured bacterium. RNAcentral's name for it is "partial 16S ribosomal RNA". It matches the Rfam family "Bacterial small subunit ribosomal RNA", at positions 338 to 795 of the family's 1533-position model. The record is from RNAcentral.